RNAcentral lists this microRNA precursor (69 nucleotides) under Dipodomys ordii (Ord's kangaroo rat). RNAcentral describes it as "miRNA (ENSDORG00000026502.1)". The record is from RNAcentral. Lineage: Eukaryota; Metazoa; Chordata; Mammalia; Rodentia; Heteromyidae.
GCUGGUUGGCAUUCUGGGCCUGGUUCAUGCCAACUCUGUAGUUAACUAUACCAGGAUGUCAGCAUAAUU